This 77-nucleotide transfer RNA is filed under the name Gammaproteobacteria bacterium. RNAcentral describes it as "tRNA-Arg". It matches the Rfam family "tRNA". From Rfam's summary of the family: Transfer RNA (tRNA) molecules are approximately 80 nucleotides in length. Their secondary structure includes four short double-helical elements and three loops (D, anti-codon, and T loops). The record is from RNAcentral. Lineage: Bacteria; Pseudomonadati; Pseudomonadota; Gammaproteobacteria. RNAcentral also lists the same sequence under 4 other names.
GUCCCGGUAGCUCAGUCGGAUAGAGCGGCCGCCUCCUAAGCGGCAGGUCACAGGUUCGAUUCCUGUUCGGGACACCA